AGCUUUGCACAAUGGCAGUAUCAUAGCCAACAAUGUUUAUCCAAGGCACAGUUACUGCUAAUUGAAAACUUUUCCCAUAUUAUCUG
Molecule: small nuclear RNA, 86 nt
Filed under: Chinchilla lanigera (long-tailed chinchilla)
Lineage: Eukaryota; Metazoa; Chordata; Mammalia; Rodentia; Chinchillidae
Description: U4 spliceosomal RNA (ENSCLAG00000020433.1)
Source: RNAcentral